This 491-nucleotide ribosomal RNA is filed under the name uncultured bacterium. RNAcentral's name for it is "partial 16S ribosomal RNA". It matches the Rfam family "Bacterial small subunit ribosomal RNA", at positions 29 to 506 of the family's 1533-position model. The record is from RNAcentral.
AGUGAACGCUGGCGGUAGGCCUAACACAUGCAAGUCGAACGGCAGCACAGUAAGAGCUUGCUCUUACGGGUGGCGAGUGGCGGACGGGUGAGGAAUACAUCGGAAUCUACUUUUUCGUGGGGGAUAACGUAGGGAAACUUACGCUAAUACCGCAUACGACCUACGGGUGAAAGCAGGGGAUCUUCGGACCUUGCGCGAUUGAAUGAGCCGAUGUCGGAUUAGCUAGUUGGCGGGGUAAAGGCCCACCAAGGCGACGAUCCGUAGCUGGUCUGAGAGGAUGAUCAGCCACACUGGAACUGAGACACGGUCCAGACUCCGACGGGAGGCAGCAGUGGGGAAUAUUGGACAAUGGGCGCAAGCCUGAUCCAGCCAUACCGCGUGGGUGAAGAAGGCCUGCGGGUUGUAAAGCCCUUUUGUUGGGAAAGAAAAGCAGCAGGUUAAUACCCCGCUGUUCGGACGGUACCCAAAGAAUAAGCACCGGCGAACUUCGG